Molecule: unclassified non-coding RNA, 870 nt
Filed under: Hevea brasiliensis (rubber tree)
Lineage: Eukaryota; Viridiplantae; Streptophyta; Magnoliopsida; Malpighiales; Euphorbiaceae
Source: RNAcentral
CUGUUUCCAGCUUGGAAUUAAAGAUGUUAUUUGCUCCUCUAUCAUUUUAGCAAUCUCCAUUGGUUCCCAGUCAGUGAUCUCCAAUUCUUUCACCAUCUCUAAUGCAACGUCAAUUGCAGUGUCGUUCAUGGUGUCAAAGGGAAAGUAUAUGUUCCUUGUGCGACCAUCGUUGUCAGAAAUUUGCACUUUGAGGAAAAUUGUGUCAUCUUCAGGAUUCAUAGUUCCUGUAAUUGUCAUAUCUGUGGCCUUGGUUGGAUCAGCCAACAAAGAUGGAUUGAUCUCCUCUGUUCCAUUAGGAGAAGACAUUUGAAAUGGGAUUUUUGGGACGGGCAGCAAUUUGGGUUCAUCAGAUGCAAGAAAAGGGUCCAACAAGAGCUCCCGCGCAGGCAAUCUCUUUGAAGCAGUCUCCAAACAUUUCCCCACAAAUUUCUGGGCUUCAACAUCUUUAAUCCUGUAGAAAGCCUCUGGCAACUUUCCCGAAGUCACUUUCUUGUAUAUUUGGGCAGGAUUCGAGCACUCACUGUAUGGGUAAUCAGAAGUGAGCAUUUCUAACACACACAUCCCAAAGGAAUAAAUAUCCACCAGUUCAUUAUAUUCCUCUUCAUAUAAUUCUGGCGCCAUAAAUUCAGGGGUUCCUAUGACACUGCGAGCAUGUUGUGACUCACGAAGAAUAGCUGCUAGGCCUAGAUCACCAAUCUUGACUUGCCCAAGAUGGCCAUUGACAAAAAUAUUAUCGCACUUGAGAUCUCUAUGAAGCACAGGAGGAUCAUGGCCAUGAAGAUAAGCAAGUCCAUGGAGGAUUUGGCGUGCCCAGUUCUUGAUUGCUCGAAUAUCCACUCGCUGGUACUUCUUUCUGUACUCUCUUAGGGU